GACGUAGGGCGCAAGCGUUGUCCGGAUUUAUUGGGCGUAAAGAGCUCGUAGGCGGCUUGUCGCGUCGACUGUGAAACACCACGACUCAACCCUGGGAUGCGGGUGGAUACUGCCGGGCUCGAGUCCGGAAGAGGCGAGUGGAAUUCCCGGUGUAGCGGUGAAAUGCGCAGAUAUCGGGAGGAACACCAAUGGCGAAGGCAGCUCGCUGGGACGUGACUGACGCUGAGACGCGAAAGCGUGGGGAGCAAACAGG
This 253-nucleotide ribosomal RNA is filed under the name uncultured bacterium. Its description in RNAcentral is "partial 16S ribosomal RNA". It matches the Rfam family "Bacterial small subunit ribosomal RNA", at positions 524 to 776 of the family's 1533-position model. The record is from RNAcentral.